RNAcentral lists this ribosomal RNA (462 nucleotides) under uncultured bacterium. RNAcentral describes it as "partial 16S ribosomal RNA". It matches the Rfam family "Bacterial small subunit ribosomal RNA", at positions 28 to 507 of the family's 1533-position model. The record is from RNAcentral.
GACGAACGCUGGCGGCGUGCUUAACACAUGCAAGUCGAACGGUAAGGCCUUUCGGGGUACACGAGUGGCGAACGGGUGAGUAACACGUGGGUGAUCUGCGCUGCACUUCGGGAUAAGCCCGGGAAACUGGGUCUAAUACCGGAUAGGACUGCGCGGUGCAUGCCGUGUGGUGGAAAGAUUUAUCGGUGCAGGAUGGGCCCGCGGCCUAUCAGCUUGUUGGUGGGGUAAUGGCCUACCAAGGCGACGACGGGUAGCCGGCCUGAGAGGGCGACCGGCCACACUGGGACUGAGACACGGCCCAGACUCCUACGGGAGGCAGCAGUGGGGAAUAUUGCACAAUGGGCGCAAGCCUGAUGCAGCGACGCCGCGUGAGGGAUGACGGCCUUCGGGUUGUAAACCUCUUUCAGCAGGGACGAAGCGUGAGUGACGGUACCUGCAGAAGAAGCACCGGCCAACUACGUG